Molecule: ribosomal RNA, 253 nt
Filed under: uncultured bacterium
Lineage: Bacteria
Description: partial 16S ribosomal RNA
Rfam family: Bacterial small subunit ribosomal RNA
Source: RNAcentral
UACGAAGGGGGCUAGCGUUGCUCGGAAUCACUGGGCGUAAAGCGCACGUAGGCGGAUUGUUAAGUCAGGGGUGAAAUCCUGGAGCUCAACUCCAGAACUGCCUUUGAUACUGGCGAUCUCGAGUCCGGGAGAGGUGAGUGGAACUGCGAGUGUAGAGGUGAAAUUCGUAGAUAUUCGCAAGAACACCAGUGGCGAAGGCGGCUCACUGGCCCGGUACUGACGCUGAGGUGCGAAAGCGUGGGAAGCAAACAGG